RNAcentral lists this transfer RNA (62 nucleotides) under Meteorus sp. 1 XHS-2023a. RNAcentral's name for it is "tRNA-Cys". Lineage: Eukaryota; Metazoa; Arthropoda; Insecta; Hymenoptera; Braconidae. The record is from RNAcentral.
AUAUAUUUAGUUUAAGAAAAACAUUAAAUUGCAAAUUUAAAGUUAAAUCAAUUUAGUAUAAU